Dalotia coriaria is the source of this 2463-nucleotide RNA transcript. It is a transcript of the gene named toll-like receptor 6, with no coding region annotated. Lineage: Eukaryota; Metazoa; Arthropoda; Insecta; Coleoptera; Staphylinidae. The record is from RefSeq and is a predicted model, not a curated record. The transcript is spliced from 3 exons.
AUUACACUAUCAGAACAGACUCAAGGGAUAUAAAUUAGUUUCGUUUGAUAUUAUUUUAUCACUAGUAAAACUAGUACCUAUCGCCUUCGCAUGUUUUAUUUGCUUUUGUGAAACAGCUAUCAUCAAAAUGAAAAAUCGCUUGUGGCUGCUCCUAGCAGUUCUAAUAGGACCAGUAUUCUGCAAACCUUACAUGGACGUUCCCUGCAAUGAACUAACAACAGAAAAAAUAAAGUUUUUGGCCAGCCAACACAUUACGAAGGUUGCAAUAAGUAACCGAUUUACAACGUGGAACCCUCGAAGCCACUUUCUUGGUUACGUGCCGGAAAUGGGAAGGUAUUUACAUCAAAUGGAAAUUCUACGCGUCGACGGUUGCCAGAUGGAAGAUGAGUCAUGGAAACGUCCGAUUACCGAACUGAGAAAUAUUCAAACUUUGGAAAUUAUGUCGGCUGACCUCACUGAAUUCGAUUUUGAUUGGAUUGCAUCAAAGGAAUUACGGGAAUUGAAUUUGAGCUAUAACAAAGGAGUGGUCUUAAAAGGAAAAAGUAUUACGAAGAAAUUACAUCAGUUUAUAUGUGAUAAAUGUAAUCUGAGUCCUGCAAGUAUUGAAACAUUGAAACAGUUUAAAAACUCGUUGAUUACUUUGAGUUUAAAAGAAAGUAGCAUUGAUGAAAUGGAAAUACUUGAAAGUUUCCCAACAUUAGCAUUGCUAAAUUCUAAUUCUCGUGAGGAUAUUUACCACAAGAAUUUUAUUGAAGAAACUAGGUCUUCAGCUUCGACAAAAACUCCGCCCACACUUUUAAUCUUGGUUUUAUUGGGUGCAUUAUUUAAGGGCAGAUUUACAAAGGUUAUCGGUUUUAUUAUCGUUCUCACCUUUGCAAUUGUUCCAACUCAGGCAUUUUUCGUCAAACAUCGAAAUCUUCCAAUCAUCAAAAGCACAUUUUUCAAGAAUUUUCAACUUGAACCCAACACUUCAAUAAUUUCAAUUGAAUACAGUAAAAUUGUAUACGUUGAAUAUUCUGCAUUCGGUGAAUUUGAAAACUUGACAAACCUAAGUCUUGUCGGCAACAAUCUAACAACAUUUCACAUUGAAUCCAACAAACUACAAGUGCUUAAUUUAGCACACAAUAAAAUAACGAACAUUGACCCAAAACUGUUUGAAAAUUCUCCGCAUCUAACAGAAUUGUACUUGGAAGAUAAUCAAAUAUCUCGUAUUGAAUGGGAUUUGAGCUUUCAUUCUAACCUUCAAAAAGUGCUACUCAAUGAAAAUCGUCUGGAAUGGAUCCACUUGAUUUCACCAACUCUGGAUUCGCUAUGGAUAAAAUGGGGAACAAGAACCGUAGAGUUUUCUCCGGAGAGUGAAUUGAAGCAACUUACAUUCUUGGAAGCUACAGGGACGGAAAUAAAAAGGGAAAGCAGCUUAUGUUCAUUAAGUGACUCUGAGCUAUUGAUUCAUGUAUCAGAGGAAGAUAUUAACUGUCCUAAAGUACUUGCAACAGUUAAAGCUGUGAACGUCGAGGAGUCGUCCACGAGUACGAGUACAAUAAAGUCAGAGAUCAGAAAAGUCGGAUGUGACUACACCACAAUGAGAAUUAAUAAUAUUGACGAUGUUGUUCUUACAAAUAAGGAAUAUUACCAACUUGUUAUAAGUUUCUACAUAUUGGGCAGUUUAAUAUUUCUUCAGAUGAUUGGAAUUAUUUUUGUCAUAGUGAGGUAUCAUCGUAAUUUGAGGAACUAUUCAGUGAAAUCAAAAUAUGAACAUGCAAGCUUAAUAAGAAAUUUAUGAGGUGAUACUUCCUGCAAGAAGUCACAAAUAUAUGUUAUCUAUAUCUAUUUAUUCAGUAUGAUAAGUAUUUCUAUAGUUAUUUGAGUAAUUAUUAAGUUGUUAAACUAAUAUAUUCAGUUAUGAAGCAAACUCGUUGAGUUGAACACCCAUUCAUCAUGUUUAAAAUGGAAUGUGGAAGAUGUUUAUUCUUAAUUUCAAUGGGAAUAGGAGUAACCUAUGGUUAUCCUUUUGGUUCACUUACAGAAAUACUCUGCGAUAAAUUAAACCAAGAAACAAUGCAAAAUCUUUCCGCCCAAGACUUCGACAAGAUUCAAAUAAUUGACAAUCAAGGAAAAAACACCAUCAUCAACUUUCUGGACAUCAUCAACACUUACAACGCAGUCUUCAAAGAAAUGAAAACAUUGCGACUUGUAGGAUGCCACGCACAAAACGAAUUAUCAUGGAAAAGCCUCCUCACUUCUUUGAAUAAAAUCAUUCACUUAGAAAUUCGCAUGGCAGGUAUGAAAGUGUUUAAUUUUGAUUGGAUAUUUUCCAAAGAUUUAACAGACGUAAAUUUAGACGGUAAUAAACUGCAACUUCAAGGUUCUAGUAAUGCUAAACUACGUAAAUUUAGUUGUGUCAAUUGCUCUCUAAACAUGACAGAUGUAAAUGUAUUGAAAGAAAGUUUUAACGCCACGUUG